UACGGGGGGAGCAAGCGUUGUUCGGAUUUACUGGGCGUAAAGGGCGCGUAGGCGGCCACCGCAAGUCGACUGUGAAAUCUCCGGGCUUAACCCGGAAAGGUCGGCCGAUACUGCGGGGCUAGAGUGCAGAAGGGGCAACUGGAAUUCUCGGUGUAGCGGUGAAAUGCGUAGAUAUCGAGAGGAACACCUGCGGCGAAGGCGGGUUGCUGGGCUGACACUGACGCUGAAGUGCGAAAGCUAGGGGAGCGAACGGG
RNAcentral lists this ribosomal RNA (254 nucleotides) under uncultured bacterium. RNAcentral's name for it is "partial 16S ribosomal RNA". It matches the Rfam family "Bacterial small subunit ribosomal RNA", at positions 524 to 776 of the family's 1533-position model. The record is from RNAcentral.